GACGAACGCUGGCGGCGUGCUUAACACAUGCAAGUCGAACGGUGAAGCGCCUUCCUUUUUGGUGGGUGGGGAGGAGUGGCGAAGGGGGGAGUAACACGUGAGUAACCUGCCCCCUCCUUCUUGAUAACCGCAUGAAAGUGUUGCUAAUACGGGAUAUUCUGAGUCUGUCGCAUGAUUGGUGUGGGAAAGAUAUUGUUUCGGUGGUGGAUGGGCUCGCGGCCUAUCAGCUUGUUGGUGGGGUGAUGGCCUACCAAGGCGGUGAGGGGUAGCCGGCCUGAGAGGGUGGACGGUCACAGUGGGACUGCGCCACCCACACGACUCCGACGGGAGGCAGCAGUGAGGCAUAUUGAACGAUGGGAGCAAGGCUGAUGCAGCGCCGCCGCGUGAGGGAUGGUGGCCGUCGGGUUGUGAACCUCUUUCGCGAGUGAAGCAUGCCUGACUUGUCUGUGGACGGGUUGACGGUAGCUGGAUAAGAAGCGACGGCUAACUACGUG
Molecule: ribosomal RNA, 494 nt
Filed under: uncultured bacterium
Lineage: Bacteria
Description: partial 16S ribosomal RNA
Rfam family: Bacterial small subunit ribosomal RNA
Source: RNAcentral